This is a long non-coding RNA of Gasterosteus aculeatus aculeatus (three-spined stickleback), 2768 nucleotides long. Lineage: Eukaryota; Metazoa; Chordata; Actinopteri; Perciformes; Gasterosteidae. The record is from Ensembl.
AUGACUCACUAUACCAUGAUUCACUAUGACUCACUAUACCAUGACUCACUAUGACUCACUAUACCAUUUGAUGACUUAACUUUAACUUUCAUAUGCAGUACUAUAAUAUAUUUUAUUUGUCAUGCUAAAGACGUUUGGAUUACACACUAUUCAUUUUGUUACAUAUUUUAUUUUAAUUUCACACUUUUUUUAAAAUACAUAGUAAAAAUACUUUACUCUGAAUUUUUUAACAUAGUAUACUCUGACACUUGUUGAAAUACAAUACUAUAUUUUUUCAGCCAUACUAUAUUAUGCUGUUUUGUGACACACUAUAGUAUGAAAUGUUUUACUAUAGUAUGAAUCAUAUUCUGUACUGCAUUUACAUUUUCAUGACAUACUGUACUGUGAUUUCUUUGGCAUACAGUAGAAUGGAUAAUUUCAAUGUGUUUCUAUGCGUUAUACAUUACAUUUUAGCCCAUACAUUAUACAUUUUUCAUAAUGUUUUAUGGCAUUUUAUACUUUUACCCUUUUGUUUACCUAUUUUACUUUAAUAAGACAAUUAUCAAAUACUUUCUGUGACAUAUUUAUAACAUUCUGUGCUUUUUUACAUAGUGUACAAAGGAAGGUAUGAGUGGUAUAAUUGGUACUGUAUACGACUGCCUAUGAACAAAUAGCUUAGGUACCUAAACAUAGUACUAAAAAAGAAAUUCUCAACAUUUACCUUUAAACAACCAAAAUAGUGACUGUUCCAGGAAAAAAUAAGAUUCCCUUUUAUAGAAUGACACAUGUGAGUUGGUGUAUUGCAUGCAUCCCAUAGAGACGACAGGUCUCUGUUGAUAUUACGUGUGUGAAGCGAGGCUUUUCCAGCAUAACCAGCGUGCAAACAUAAAGAAAACAGCAACGCAAGCGAGGCGUCCCUCUGAGACGCUUUGAAAUACCUUGAGCAGAAGGCAAAGAACAGGCUCGGUGAGGACGAGUUACAUGGACUGUUCCUUUUGCCUGGUCCGGUGAGCAGGAUCACAGGUCAGCCAGUCAGAAGAAUGGACCAUUUCAAAGGAGCCGGUUGUGUUAAACAUGUAAGGCUGUAGAACCUCCUACAGCCAUCUCGCAACAUCAAUGCAGUGGAAUAAAAAUGUUUUUAUCAACCGUUGAAUCUACAAAUAAAAUUACUCUGAAAGCGAGUUCAACAGCAUACUACCUGUUACACACGUUACCCUGAGUGUCCACAGAGUGGAAGUGUUUACUCAACCAACAAUCUGUGCAGCUGUGGCUGCUGGGACAGAAACGUCAGCGCAUUGAUAGACCUCCCUGGUUUAAUGGCUGCUGAUGCAGAUAUAAAUCACUGUCACGCUGCAGUGACAGAUGAAGACAUUGUAGGUAAUGUUAAAAAGCGUUAAUGUGGCCAUAAUUAAAACCCGACAGUGUCCCUCACUUCACAUUGUUGAUCAUUACUAACCUUUUGAAUAGUCGUUAACUGUCUAUCUUUGGUGUGUGUACAUGUGUGUGUGCAUGAGGACUUCACAGAUUUAGCAUUCAUGUCGUCUGUCCCAGUUAGCAACAACAGGUCAAGUCCUUGUCCCAGUUGGGUGUUUUCAUGGGUUUGCAAAGCAAAUAAUUCUGUAUUUGUGUUUGCAUGUGUGUCUGUGUGUUGAUGUUGCACUGCCUCCUUGACAUUUGGAUUUACAUGUGAUGAGCUCGCUGGUGAGAUAAUGAGUUCCCGGACAAAAAAAUCUCUCUUCUGAACCACGGCUGUGUGACAUCUUCAGGCAGGUCUCAUCCAGCAUUCACGGCCAUUCACGAUUCAUAAAUAUCCCAAGAAACUAUUUGGUUUGUCAUCCGAAUGAUCUACAUCCAGGAAGUAUAUAGCCCGUAAAAGCGUAACUUGCAUGAAUGUUGUUGAUGCACUUCAGUGGUUAUUUUAACCCAAACAACCAUAUUUUCCUCGAUCUAACCAAGCAGUCUCGUUGCCUAAACCGCAAAGAGAAGUUUCCUUCUUUUAUUUUGAAAAUAAUGUAACCAUGUAUUGAGCAGGUAUUGACUUGUGUGGCUCACUUUGGAAGGCAACCACAUCAGCAAUUACAAUUACAAUUUCUUAAAAUAUCAUAUGAAUCAAUGUAUGUAUGGAUAUUUAAUCAUUGAAUAAUGUGCAUAUUGAUUGAUUAUUUGUUGUUUUGAAAUUCCGGAUGCAUCUUCAUUACCCUGGGAAAUGUCCCUGUCUCAGGGUCGGGUAUGUCGGGCCUGAGGGGAGGAGAUGGAGCUGUGACUGUCGUCUCUCCUCCUCUGGCGGCCGGCUGUUUCUAUGCCGACCCUCCUCUACGGUUCAUACAGACGCUUUUAUGGAGACGGAGCAGUUAUCAAACAAUCACAGCCAGCAUGUAUCCAGCUGGGUUUCUGAGUAACAACCGGACGCUUUCGAAGAAGCAAUUUGCCUUCAAUGUUUCAGAGCGCUGUGUUCUUAAACAGAGCUAUGAAGUCUGUCAUUAGAAAAUGAAACGAGAAGAAUACUUUUGAUCAAACAAUAGAAAGGUGAUUUAAGAUGAACCUUUGAUGGACACACAGGUUGCUUGCAUUCUGUAUAAAUCACUCCUCCUUUAAAGCAAAUGAAUGUACCGAGAUGCAUCGCUGUUGGCACAGACGCCUCAUGUUCUCCACCAUCAACCCACGGCCAAAAAACAAACCAUCACCGCAAAAACCCGAUAAUGGUUGUUUUUAACACGGAUUACACUUUAAUCUCCCCGUACAGUGGCGUUUGCACCUCUGCCCGCAUGCUCUUUUAACGCUGUGACUGA